UGGGGAAUAUUGGACAAUGGGCGAAAGCCUGAUCCAGCCAUGCCGCGUGAGUGAUGAAGGCCUUAGGGUUGUAAAGCUCUUUCGUCAGGGAAGAUAAUGACGGUACCUGAAGAAGAAGCCCCGGCUAACUUCGUGCCAGCAGCCGCGGUAAUACGAAGGGGGCUAGCGUUGCUCGGAAUCACUGGGCGUAAAGCGCACGUAGGCGGCUUUCUAAGUCAGGGGUGAAAUCCUGGAGCUCAACUCCAGAACUGCCUUUGAUACUGGAGAGCUUGAGUUCGGGAGAGGUGAGUGGAACUGCGAGUGUAGAGGUGAAAUUCGUAGAUAUUCGCAAGAACACCAGUGGCGAAGGCGGCUCACUGGCCCGAUACUGACGCUGAGGUGCGAAAGCGUGGGGAGCAAACA
Molecule: ribosomal RNA, 402 nt
Filed under: uncultured Rhodoplanes sp.
Lineage: Bacteria; Pseudomonadati; Pseudomonadota; Alphaproteobacteria; Hyphomicrobiales; Nitrobacteraceae
Description: bacterial SSU rRNA
Rfam family: Bacterial small subunit ribosomal RNA
Source: RNAcentral